Molecule: long non-coding RNA, 5504 nt
Filed under: Heterocephalus glaber (naked mole-rat)
Lineage: Eukaryota; Metazoa; Chordata; Mammalia; Rodentia; Bathyergidae
Description: lncRNA (ENSHGLG00100040700.1)
Source: RNAcentral
GGAAAAACUUCAGGUCUGGUCAACCUGACUCUAGGUCAUUUCCAUGUGGCUGUUAUUGAACAGCAGAGGCUCCAGUGAAUGAAACCAUUUUGUCACCAAAUUUUUCACAUGAGUGGUUUCUCUGGGCUGCCUCCAUAUUCUCAACUUGUUGAAGCUCACUCCUUUUAUACAACUACAAGGGCUUUAAAGGUCACUGAGUACUUCUGGACUGACAUUUUCGUCAUUCUCCUACUUCACCUUUCUGCUGAAUUUGACACUGCCCCUGUGACAGUUGUGCUGUUAGGUGGAGAGGAGGAGGAAGAAGACAAGCAGGUGAAAUAAUGAGGAAGACAGGAGAAACAAUAGGGAAGGAGGCUGCAGUUCCACCAUGCCCAGCCCAGAGGAAGGGAGUUCUGGGCCACCAUUCCACUGCUCCCAGCCCAGAGGAAGGGGCUUCCAGGCCGCCAUUCCACCAGUCCAAGACAAGAGGUAGUGGCUUCCAGGGCACCAUUCCACCACUCCCAGCACAGAGGAAGGGGCUUCCAGGUUGCUGUUCCACCUCUCCCAGCUCAGAGGAGGUGAGUCGCACAGGCACCAACAGCACCACACCCCCAAUGAAAUGAGAAGACACAUAAACAAGUCUCAAAACCCAACUUCCAGAUCACCUACAGCAACCCCAAAGGGAAAUGAGAUGGAACACUCUGAUACUCAACCACCUGGACUCCCUGAACUUGCAACAAAAGAGGAUCUGGAAAAAAUGAAAUGAGAAAUAAUUUCUCAAGUGACAGCAGAAAUUGUGCUAGUAGUGCAAGACAUGAUGAAUAAAUCUAGAGAGGAUCUAAGGAACGUGAUGGAAUUUCAACAUAGGAAACAAAUGGAAUCCACAAAGCAGAUGCAAACAGAUUUCCAGGAGAUGAAAAACUCCAUUGAAAGCCUACACAGCAGAAUGAGCCAAUAUGAGGACAGAAUUUCAGAUAUAGAAGAUAAGAUUGCAACUAGUGACCAGGAAAGGAAAAUUGCUUCAAAAUUCUAAGGGACCAUGAGAAAGCAAUCCAGCAGAUGAUAGAAGAUGCAAAGAAGAAUAACAUAAGACUUAUUGGAGUCGAUGAAGAAACAGGAGAGAGUGCAGAUGACAUAAAAAAUCUCUUCACAGGAGUAAUGGCAGAAAAUUUCCCAAGCAGGGGAAAAGAACUUGACAUACAGAUAAGUGAGGCAUAUAGGACUCCAAAUAGCCUUGAUCAAAAAAAAAAUCUACACAUAGGCAUAUAAUUGUUAAGAUUCCAGAAACCCAACAGAAGAACAAAGUUCUACAAGCAGUUAGAGAAAAGAAAAAAAUCGCAUACAAAGGAAAGCCCAUUAGAAUCACAGCAGACUUCUCAACGCAAAUCAUCAAAGCAAGAAGAGCUUGGAGUGUCAUAUUCCAAGCCCUGAAGGAAAGCAGCCUCCAACCCAGAUUGAUGUACCCUACAAAGCUAUCUUUCAAAAUUAAUGGAGAAAUAAGAUACUUUCAUGACAAAGAGCAUCUUAGGAACUUCAUGAAUACCAAACCAACACUCCAAAAAUAUUAGACAAUAUCCUAGGAGCAGACAUUGAGGAUCACAACCCAAGAAAGCACAGCAGAAUGAACUCAUCAGGCAUGACGAGAAACUAAAUGUAAAGGGGGAGAAUCCAACAAAAAGAAAAAGUCAUGACAAUGACAAGUCAACAUGUAUCAGUAGUAACCAUCAAUGUUAAUGGUCUCGAUUCACCAAUCAAAAGAAAUAGACUGGCAGAAUGGGUCAAGAAGCAGAAUCCAAUAUGCUGCAUACAAGAAACACACUGAAUUCAAAAGAAAACUCACACACUGAAAGUUAAAGGGUGGAAAACAAUACUCCAUGAAAUGGGAGGCCCCACAAAAGCAGGAGUAGCUAUCCUCUUGGUAGAUCAAGUAGAUUUCAAACCAAUACUGAUUAAGAGAGACAAAGAAGGACACCACAUACUUAUAAAGGGAACAAUCCAACAGGAAAAGAUGAUAAUCAUAAAUAUGUAUGCACCAAAUACUAGUGCACCCAACUAUAUAAAACAAAUACUAAUGGACAUGAAAAGUCAUAUAUGCACUAAUACAAUAGUAGUGGAGAACCUCAAUACCCCACUGUCACAAAUAGAUAGAUCAAUUAGACAAAAAAUAAGUAAUGAAAUACUAGAACUCAAUCAAACUCUUGAACAAAUGAACUUAACAGAUGUUUACAGAGUGUUCCACCCCACAAAAUCAGGAUAUACUUCUUUUCAGUUGCACAUGGGUCAUUCUCCAAAAUAGACCACAUACUUGUUCAUAGAACUUUUUGAAAUAAGUGCAAAGGAAUUGAAGUUAUCCCCUGUAUAUUAUCAGACCAUACAGCAAUGAAAUUGGAGGUCAAUAGCAAAACAAAAUGCAAGAAUUUCAUAAACACAUGGAAAUUGAACAACACACUUCUUCCUCCCCCCCCCCCCCCAUUAACUUUAUUGGUACAUUUUAGGUAUACAAUACAGUUACAUUCAUCAUUGGGAUCUUGUACCAUUACAUGAGUCUCAUGGUUCUUCUUUUUUUUGCCCUUCCCUUGCCCUCCCUUCAACCCCUCCACCCUUCCCUAUUUGCAAAGACCUUGUUUCCAUUUUUUUCCUCUUCUCAUAUUUUUUCCUUUCCCUUUAUUCCCUUCCCCUACCCCUCCCAAUUCCCCUGCUCUUUUAUACCUUUGCUUCUUGUUACACAAUAUCAGUUAAACAUUUUUUAAAUUACAAUAUUAGGAUCUAGGAGACAUUAUCACAGAUUUUACAGAAUUUAAAAGGAUAUAGAAAGCAUAUUACAAAAAUCUUUUUUGAAAUAAAUUUGACAACUUCUAAGAAGUAACUUAGAAGACAAAUUAAUGAAACUGACUCUGGAGGAAAUGUAAAAUUUGAAUAGCACCUAUUAAAGAAAGAAUAUUCCUAGCUUGAAAACCUACCUAUAUCACAACAGCAGGCUCAUAAACAUUUUAACUGAUAAAUUAUAUCAAACAAUUAAAGCAGAAAAAAGAAGGAACACUUCUCCCCUCAUUUUAGGAACUCAACAUUGUGCUAAUCCUAAAAUUGGAUAAAGAUAAUAGAAGAAAAAAGUAUGAACAUAGAUAGAAAUUUGUUUAACAAAACAAUUAGAAGUCAGAUCUGGCAGAAUGUAGAAAGUGGUUUUGUUAUAGGGAUGGCAGUGUUGGUUCAGCAUUGGAAGAUCCACCCCCAAAAGUCACCAUUUUAACAGAGGAAAGGAAAAAGCCAUAUGAUCCUGUCACUACUUGGAGAAAAAGUAUUGGACUAAAUUCUACAGCUGUUCAUGGUAAAAGCUAUCAGGAGACUAGAAGUAGAACAGAACCCUCUUAACAAAUUAAAGACAUGUACUCCAUACUUCCAGCGAGAACACCUUGUAUGAAUGGAGAAGAUACAAUGCUUUCUCCUUAAGGUGGGGAACAAGGGCAGGUAUGCUUACUCUUUAUCUGUUCAUUAAACUUUGAAACCUAGUCCCCACCAAAGUAGUCUGGCAAUAAAAUGACACAACUAGGAUAGGAUUGGCAAGGUAGAAGCAAAAUCUUUAUAUUUAGAUGACACGAUCAUCUACAGAGAAAAUACUAAGAAAUCUCUAGGAGCCCCUAGAACUUGUACUUGAAUUUAGCAGAUUUAGAAAACACAAGGUAUAUAUAAAAAUUCAGGUCUGUGUAUACUUGCUAUAAAUGAAGAACUAGAUAUUGAAAUUUACAAGUUAUGUAGGAGUACAAAGGACCCAGAAAAGCCAAAAACAAAAACAAAAACAAAAACAAAUACAGUGUUGGAAGACAUUUAGCACCCAAUUUUAAGAUUUCUUCUAAAGCUACAGUAAUCAAGGCAGUGUUGGUGUAAGGAAAGACAUAUAGAUCAUUGGAAAAAACAGAGAAUCUAGAAAUAGAACCACACAUAUAUGGUCCACUGAGUUUUGAAAGAUUAUUUAACAUUAGCAUUUUAUAGAAUAUAAACUCAAUUCAAGAGCAGAGGAAGAGAUAGUGUUUUCAGCAGACGGAACUAGAACACCUGGUAUCUGCAUUUAAAAAAUUAACCUCAACCCUUUUUUUCCAUACAUGAAAAUACCUUGAAGGGAUCUAUGAACCUAAAUAAGAAGGCCUAAAAGUAUAAAACUUUAAGAAGAAAUUAUAAGGGAAAAUGUUUAUGAAUUCAGGGUAGGCAAGAACUACCUAGGAUACAAAAAACAUGAUGUAUAAAAGAAAAAAAUUGAUAAAUGAGAUUCCAUCAAAAUUUAGAACUUUAAAUGACAUCAUUAAAAUGAAAAGUAGUCUUUAAACAGACCAUAUUUACAAUACAUAUAACCUAUGAGCAGAAUAUAUAAAGAAUUCUUAGAGCUCAUCAAUAGACAACCUAAUUAAAAUGUAGACAUAAGCAGAUGAUAAAUAGUCAGUAUAGCACAAGGAAUGGUGUGCAACUCUAGAAUCAGAAAAAUACUAAUCAGUUCAAUAAUAAGAUUGAAUUAUACACUCAUUAGGGAGAUGAAGUCAAAAGUUUUAAAAGCCUUGUCAUGACUUUUUCUUUUUGUUGGAUUCUCCCCCUUUGCAUUUAAUUUGUCACACCCAAUGGAUUCAUUCUGCUGGGUUUCCUGGGGUUGUGAUCCUCAUUGACUUUUCCUUGGGUAUUGUCUAAAAUUUUUUGGAGUGCCAGUUUGGUAUUCAUGAAGUUCAUGAGGUGUUCUUUGUCAUCAAAGUAUCUUAUUUCUCCAUCCAUUUUGAAAGAUAGUUUUGCAGGGUACCUCAAUCUGGGUUGGAGGCUGUUUUCCUUUAGGGCUUGAAAUACAUCACUCCAAGCUCUUCUUGCCUUGAGGGUUUGGAUUGAGAAGUCUGCUGUGAUUCUGAUGGGCUUUCCUUUGUAUGUGAUUUGUUUCUUUUCUCUCACUGCUUGUAGAAUUUUAUUCUUCUGUUGGAUUUCUGGAAUCCUAACUAUUAUAUGCCUAUGUGUACAUUUUUUUUGAUUAAGGCUAGCUGGGAGUCCUAUAUGCCUCACUUAUCUGUAUGUCAAGUUCUUUUGCCCUCCUUGGGAAGUUUUCUGCCAUCACUUCUGUGAAGAGUUUUUUUAUGUCAUCUGCACUCUCUCCUCUUUCUUCAUUGACUCCAAUCAGUCUUAUGUUAUUCUUCUUUGCAUCACCUAGCAGCUGCUGGAUUGAUUUCUUGUGUUCCUUUACAAUUUUAAAGCAAUUUUUCUUUUCCUGGUCACUAAUUGCAAUCUUAUCUUCUAUAUCUGAAAUUCUAUCCUCACAUUGGUUCAUUCUGCUGUGCAGACUUUCGAUGGAGUUUUUAAGCUCUUGUAAAUCUGUUUGUAUCUGUUUUAUGGAUUCCAUUUGUUUCCUAUGUUGGGAUUCCAUCAUUUUUCUCAGAUCCUCUAUUUUUUUAUCUGUGUCCUCUCUAGAUUUAUUAAUCAUGUCUUGUACCAUGAGCAAAAUCUUUGCUGUUAUCUGAGUAAUUAUUUCUGAUUUCAUUUUUCCCAGGUCCUCUUUUGCUGAC